This is a long non-coding RNA of Xenia sp. Carnegie-2017, 460 nucleotides long. RefSeq lists it as uncharacterized. The transcript has 2 exons. The record is from RefSeq and is a predicted model, not a curated record. NCBI's taxonomy places the organism in Eukaryota, Metazoa, Cnidaria, Anthozoa, Malacalcyonacea, Xeniidae.
CAAAAACCUUGCACUGGUCUCGAGCUCUCCCAAAGGUCUCCUCGGUUUGCAUAAACCUGUGCAAACACAGUAAACAUCUUUUAUUUGUUAAAUGAAAUCGAAUUAAGUAUAAGGUAAGACGAAGCUAAUGGUUUGUGUUUUUUUGUGUAGUAUUGGAGUUAUCCAGCUCCAUCAGUCGAUCAAGGCCAUUUUUUACUUCAACGUCAACUUCUAUUAACAACAAUCUCAAAGGUAACUUAACUUCUACUUCAAGAACCUUUGAUAACUGUAAAACAUGUAAAAUAACAGAGACAAAAACGAAAUGGUACAUUAUAUUGGUAACCUUGAUUUCUGGAAUUAUUUUCGGCAUUUUUAUUACAUCCUUGUUCUUUUUACGAUAUCGUCAACGGUGGGUGAAUAAAAAACAAAAGCAGCUGUCGACCAAUGCUGAAGGUAGAGUAAACACAGUUGAUUCAACUUA